This 837-nucleotide ribosomal RNA is filed under the name Triticum aestivum (bread wheat). RNAcentral describes it as "partial small subunit ribosomal RNA". The record is from RNAcentral. Lineage: Eukaryota; Viridiplantae; Streptophyta; Magnoliopsida; Poales; Poaceae.
AUUCAAUCUAAACCUAAAUCGCCGCCGCCGCCCCCGACCUACCCAUAGAUUUGCUCGCAUCGCCGUCUCUCCCAACACGGCAUCCCACCCAUGGCCGUCCUCUAGUCCUGCGUGUUGCCCUGUCAUCCACGGCCGAGGAGUUGCUGCCCCAUCUGCAGCCAAGGCGCCGCCGCCUAGUCCACUGCAUAGGAGCUGGCGAGGAGGCAACUGCAGUUCUGGAGUCGCCCCGCCGUUCUUCUUCCUCCACCAGCGACCCCUGUCCAGAUCGACACCCUUGUCCUGCCCCGACUCCAGGCCACUGCAGGAGAAAAGAUGGAAGGAACAAGAGGUGGAAGUGAGCUCCCUGCAUACGAACAAUCAAGAGUUAGGCUCGUAGCAGACAUGAAUUGUACAGCCAUGCACGUGACUGCAUAUCAAUUGAUGAGAAAACAACCUGAAGAAGCAGCUGAACCGCCAACAACACUUGCAAUGGAAAUUCAAUUUUGUCGACAAGAUGAACAUGUUUCUACUCUACUAGAGCUCACGGAACAAAUGCAACGAAAAAUUGGAGAGAUGCAUCAAGUUCUCUUUUCUCAAGGAAUCAGAAAUGUCGAAAUACCAGUGCAACCCCCAUUAUCAUGCAAACAGUAUCAAAUUCAUGAAUACAUUCCUGACCUCGCACAUCAAAUCACCGGUCUGAUCUUGUUGUCCAACGACCGAGAGUUCCGAGACGAAUGCGUGGCACUCCUCAGGAAACAUAGGGACAUAUGGCAGAAAGUAGGAAGUCCACAAGUUGAUCUAAGAUGUUCCAGUGAUCGCUUUUGUUCAUUACAUAUGGAAGUUGAUGUCGGCUUGUGA